CAACAAAAAAAAAAAGGGGGAAAGAAAGAGAGAGGGUUCGGCCAAGGUAUGGCCAAGCAUGGCCAUGGGAGAUUUGAUCAAGAAAAAUUAUUUCUUUCAAGCUUUUAUACUAAGUGGAAGGUUCUCUACAACGUGGAGUAUUCGUUGGAACAAGUGAAUCAUUCGUUUCGCAAAAAUGAGGUUCUAGCCGGGAAAAGGAACUAGUGCUAAGAUUAACAAGUUGGACGAAUAAGCGUAGCUAGUAAGGCGCGGCGCAGGUACACCCAGAUGAGCUGAGGCCCUUAUAGAAGAUGUUCCAGCGAAGUUGGCGAGCUCCAGUUAGCCCGGGAGUGUAGCCGAGUCAGUGUAUAUGUGCCAUGGUUUCCGAUUGCAGUUAGAGACUUUGCAGACAGAGUCGUGGGUAUAGAGCGUCAGCUUUGUAGACGGCUUCGCCUGUCAAUAUGUUAUUACGUUUCAUGUCACGCGUUCCAUAUGAUGAUACACUCUCCAAAAUAAAAUAAAAUUGAGAGCUUACUAUACAUUUU
Lycium barbarum (goji berry) is the source of this 524-nucleotide long non-coding RNA. RefSeq lists it as uncharacterized. The record is from RefSeq and is a predicted model, not a curated record. The transcript has 3 exons. Lineage: Eukaryota; Viridiplantae; Streptophyta; Magnoliopsida; Solanales; Solanaceae.